This 489-nucleotide long non-coding RNA is filed under the name Equus caballus (horse). RNAcentral's name for it is "lncRNA (ENSECAG00000048338.1)". The record is from RNAcentral. Lineage: Eukaryota; Metazoa; Chordata; Mammalia; Perissodactyla; Equidae.
CCCGAAUGCCUUGCCAGAAGAAUCUGACAGGCUGAAUGGGAGAGAAGAAUGUUGUCAGGGGCGCAGGAGAAAGGCGAGAGAGACGCUGCUACAGCAUGGCUUGAUGAGUGGUAUGCAGUUCUGUGCCCAGGAUCCAAACCCAGGAACACCAGGCCACCGAAGUGGAGUGUGCAAACUUAACCACUAUGCCACCAGGCCGGCCCCCAUGAAGAACUCUUUAACACACCUUUGGGCAUUCUUGUUGGGCUUUCUCUAUCUCUCAAAGACCUAAGGUCCAGAGUAUAUUUUGGGAAGGCUUGCUUUAUACUCAGAGAGAAUUGCUUCCUCCUACUUUAAAAACAGAAAGGAAGAUAAAGAUCUCAUUUCCAUAACACAAUGUAUAAAGACAACCUGAUUCAGCUGAUGACUGCCAAGCCCUUUGAUGGGUCCCCUCAGAACCAUAUUCAUAUGAAGGGUAAGGUUAUGAAUGAAAGAAUUUGAUUGUUUGCG